AGAAUUUUCUGUCUCAUUUGUCAACUUCACACUGUGAACCCCCAAAAGAGUUGUCUUCAAAAUAAUUGCCCUUGUUGCUUCUCUUUACAGAGUUCUCCCCACAUUAUUAAUGGUAUGGGAAUUAGGAGAAGGUCAUCUGACUCACAUGGAUCACCAUAUAAUUCCUUCUGGAGAACAGAAAAAAUGCAGAAGAGGAAAACCUCCAUAUGUGAAGCUAUGGCAAGGGAGUCUCCCCACCCCGCGCUCCAACAGAGUCUGGAGAUAAACCCUCAGAGACUCAGGAUUCAUGUGGCUCCAUAAACAUGGCCCAAUCUAUUGUCAAACCAGAAUGGUAGAACUGAAAGCAUCUCCAA
This 353-nucleotide long non-coding RNA is filed under the name Homo sapiens (human). RNAcentral's name for it is "HSALNT0232032". Lineage: Eukaryota; Metazoa; Chordata; Mammalia; Primates; Hominidae. The record is from RNAcentral.